GUUAGCGUAGCUUAAUGAAAAGCAUAGCACUGAAAAUGCUAAGACGGGCCCUAAUCAGCUCCGCAAACA
Molecule: transfer RNA, 69 nt
Filed under: Pectenocypris sp. MZB 22148
Lineage: Eukaryota; Metazoa; Chordata; Actinopteri; Cypriniformes; Danionidae
Description: tRNA-Phe
Rfam family: tRNA
About the family: Transfer RNA (tRNA) molecules are approximately 80 nucleotides in length. Their secondary structure includes four short double-helical elements and three loops (D, anti-codon, and T loops). Further hydrogen bonds mediate the characteristic L-shaped molecular structure. tRNAs have two regions of fundamental functional importance: the anti-codon, which is responsible for specific mRNA codon recognition, and the 3' end, to which the tRNAs corresponding amino acid is attached (by aminoacyl-tRNA synthetases). tRNAs cope with the degeneracy of the genetic code in two manners: having more than one tRNA (with a specific anti-codon) for a particular amino acid; and 'wobble' base-pairing, i.e. permitting non-standard base-pairing at the 3rd anti-codon position.
Source: RNAcentral